This 1007-nucleotide ribosomal RNA is filed under the name Escherichia coli. Its description in RNAcentral is "partial 23S ribosomal RNA". It matches the Rfam family "Bacterial large subunit ribosomal RNA", at positions 123 to 1171 of the family's 2925-position model. Lineage: Bacteria; Pseudomonadati; Pseudomonadota; Gammaproteobacteria; Enterobacterales; Enterobacteriaceae. The record is from RNAcentral.
GAAACCCAGUGUGUUUCGACACACUAUCAUUAACUGAAUCCAUAGGUUAAUGAGGCGAACCGGGGGAACUGAAACAUCUAAGUACCCCGAGGAAAAGAAAUCAACCGAGAUUCCCCCAGUAGCGGCGAGCGAACGGGGAGCAGCCCAGAGCCUGAAUCAGUAUGUGUGUUAGUGGAAGCGUCUGGAAAGGCGCGCGAUACAGGGUGACAGCCCCGUACACAAAAAUGCACAUGCUGUGAGCUCGAUGAGUAGGGCGGGACACGUGGUAUCCUGUCUGAAUAUGGGGGGACCAUCCUCCAAGGCUAAAUACUCCUGACUGACCGAUAGUGAACCAGUACCGUGAGGGAAAGGCGAAAAGAACCCCGGCGAGGGGAGUGAAAAAGAACCUGAAACCGUGUACGUACAAGCAGUGGGAGCACGCUUAGGCGUGUGACUGCGUACCUUUUGUAUAAUGGGUCAGCGACUUAUAUUCUGUAGCAAGGUUAACCGAAUAGGGGAGCCGAAGGGAAACCGAGUCUUAACUGGGCGUUAAGUUGCAGGGUAUAGACCCGAAACCCGGUGAUCUAGCCAUGGGCAGGUUGAAGGUUGGGUAACACUAACUGGAGGACCGAACCGACUAAUGUUGAAAAAUUAGCGGAUGACUUGUGGCUGGGGGUGAAAGGCCAAUCAAACCGGGAGAUAGCUGGUUCUCCCCGAAAGCUAUUUAGGUAGCGCCUCGUGAAUUCAUCUCCGGGGGUAGAGCACUGUUUCGGCAAGGGGGUCAUCCCGACUUACCAACCCGAUGCAAACUGCGAAUACCGGAGAAUGUUAUCACGGGAGACACACGGCGGGUGCUAACGUCCGUCGUGAAGAGGGAAACAACCCAGACCGCCAGCUAAGGUCCCAAAGUCAUGGUUAAGUGGGAAACGAUGUGGGAAGGCCCAGACAGCCAGGAUGUUGGCUUAGAAGCAGCCAUCAUUUAAAGAAAGCGUAAUAGCUCACUGGUCGAGUCGGCCUGCGCGGAAGAU